This is a long non-coding RNA of Panicum hallii, 542 nucleotides long. RefSeq lists it as uncharacterized. Lineage: Eukaryota; Viridiplantae; Streptophyta; Magnoliopsida; Poales; Poaceae. The transcript has 3 exons. The record is from RefSeq and is a predicted model, not a curated record.
UCUUGGAGAGACUUUUCUCUUUUGGUGGCGUCAGAGCAGAGGAGGAUGAAGCGAACCCUUAUUGGUGAAGGAUUGCAGCGGAUGGGUGUUGAAACGGUCGCACUCUCCGGAGCCGUCUCGACGGGAGGGAGGAUACGCACAGCUGGGCCCAAGCAGUCAGCCGGUGAGACUAUCGCUUGACUCGCCUUCUACGCGGUUCAGGGAUGGAACGACGACACCUCCAGAGGUUCGGAUCCUCUAUGUUCAUGCGAGCGUGCGGCUCGUCAUGUCUUUCCCCUUCCUUCCGCCGUCCAUGCCAACCAGGACGCAAUUGUUCUGGGAGCGUGUUAGUAGCGUGCACGUUUUGCCCAUCACGGUAUUUAAUUGACAUCCCGAAAGGAGGAGGAAAUGCUGGGCUAAUCAAAGAUGUGCACAGCGCAGAUCAGGAUGCGCUGGCCAAUAUCAAUGGCAGCUGCGAAUGGUGAUUAAGUUUGCAUGUACGCAAAUGGCGUUUAAAGCCUUCAUUUUGUCAUGAAGCACUGACAUAACUAGAGCUACUCCAC